This 253-nucleotide ribosomal RNA is filed under the name uncultured bacterium. Its description in RNAcentral is "partial 16S ribosomal RNA". It matches the Rfam family "Bacterial small subunit ribosomal RNA", at positions 524 to 776 of the family's 1533-position model. The record is from RNAcentral.
UACGAAGGUCCCAAGCGUUAUCCGGAUUUAUUGGGUUUAAAGGGUGCGUAGGCGGGCUGUUAAGUCAGUGGUGAAAGCUCCAUGCCUAACAUGGAAAUUGCCAUUGAUACUGACGGUCUUGAGUACAUUUGAAGUGGGCGGAAUGUGUCAUGUAGCGGUGAAAUGCUUAGAUAUGACACAGAACACCGAUUGCGAAGGCAGCUCACUAAACUGUAACUGACGCUGAGGCACGAAAGCGCGGGGAGCAAACAGG